Molecule: long non-coding RNA, 1003 nt
Filed under: Cricetulus griseus (Chinese hamster)
Lineage: Eukaryota; Metazoa; Chordata; Mammalia; Rodentia; Cricetidae
Description: lncRNA (ENSCGRG00015035321.1)
Source: RNAcentral
GAAACAACCAGUUUCACAGUCCCUACAAUGGUGGUACCCCCAGGUGACCUAAGGACCUCCCACCUAUAAAGGUUCCAACAGUGUGAGGUGUGAAGUAUGGGGUUGCAGUGUGGGAUGUGCAGUGUGAGGUGUGCAGUGUGGGGUUUGAGGUGUGAGGUGUGCAGUGUGGGGUUUCAGUGUGGGGUUGCAGAGUGGGGUUGCAGUUUGGGGUGUGAGGUGUGAAGUGAGGGCUUGCAGUGUGUUCCAUGCAGUGUUUAGUGUUGGUUCACUUUGUUUCUUAUGUCUUGUGACACCAGCUUGUCACCAUGAAGCUCAGCAUCUGUCUGCCCAGUUUGUUCUUUCUCAUUUUCUUCCCUUCUCUUUCUGAAGCCAUGAAGACUGACCUUUCCAGGGAAAUUUCUAGAACUUAUUCAACAUGGGAGGAGAGAAAAAGAGAAGGGGAAGUGUCCCGCGCGCGCUAUGUUCUCACCGGCAAGAAUCACGCAGGACACUCGGAUCCUUCUGCAGGAAAGCUUUAAUGCGUCUUGAGAGAGGAGAGCAUAAGCUUACCAGAGCGGAGACCCCGGCCCAAGAAUCCCGUUCCUUAAUAAAGGCUGGCAGCCCGCCUGGGAUGUGUUACCCUAUGAAUGGCUUCAGCUCCUCAGGCCAAAUGAGCCACGGGAUAGGCAGAGAUCAAAGAAAUGGAGAAUUACCCAGCGCCUGCGAAAUAAUUUACAUUUAGUGCCUGCAGGCACCAUCAUUGUAAUGGAGAAUGCAGGGACGGCUCCCUACAGGGAAGAAGAACCAGGAUAAGGGAGACGUUUUUAAGAACAGUGUCUGAGCCUCACUGCUGCUUGGCCAAAUUGCUUUAGUCUCCUCCUUCUGUACAGUAGAGCAAGCUAAGGCUGGAAAGGUGAAGUGGUCAGGGUCAGGGUCUCCAGAGAUACAGAACUAGUAGGAGAGAUACCUAGCCUAGCAAAUCUGCUCAUAAGGUGGUGGGAGCUGGCAGGCCCAGAACCCACAG